UCGAUGAACUGUCAUCACCAUCAUGUUAUGUUCCUGGCGGUGAUGAUGAUCAUGCUCUUCCCCAUGGGAGGCUGCUUUGGUGACACUGACUCAUCGCCGUCAGUCAACUGGGCUGCCUGGACGCAUGAGGUGGCACAUUGCAGCUGAACGGAUGCUUCGUCAAGUACAAUAAUGUGAGCUUCUUGGGGGUGCAAGACAAGACAGCUGUGAUAAAGAAUUGUGGACCCUCGAUUGGGUUGACCUCAGAUGCAAUGACCAGGAGGGAUGAGAUAGAAUCAUUAAUUUUUUGCAAUUAGCUUAAUAUCUAGACGAACACUCAGCCUUUAACAUUCAGAAUUGUCAGAUCCCUUCAUUACUUUCUAUUGUUAAUAUCUCCAACUAUUCACAAUCUUAGUUGCCUAACUCUCCUUGUAACACAUAAUUAAGCUAUAUCUUGUUUGGUAAUCUAAGUAUCUGACAUCCCUAAAGCCCUUUCCAUUCAAUGGGAGGUUCUCAUAAUUUUAGAUCUUUGAAUCUUCAAUUCAAGAACUUCUCUCUAUUCUUUUUGGUUUACUAGCUAGUUGUUAUUGUUUCCCGACAAGAACAAAACCAACUCUGAGGCUGAAUGAAACAGAAGAACUGCUCAUGGGAAAGCAAAACCAACUGUGCCACCUAAAGGAACGGUGCCACCUCCAGGUCCUUCAAAGAGGCAUAACACGUUGCCACUUCAAAAUUGAUCAAAUAAGUAUUUUUUUUAUUUUAUAAAAGGACAAAAACCCAGAGAAAAAACCUAAUUACAAACUAAAGGAGAAUUAAUUUCCACCAAAGUUCAUUUCCCAAAGUUGAGGCCAUUCUUCACUCCCCAAAGUUCUGCCAGAAAAGCCGUUCCAGCCCCUAUCUUAUGGGUGAUGCCUGCGAUCCAAUUUCCUUCUUCAUUCUUGAGGAGUCUGCUGCACCCAGUAACAACUGGGUUCCCUUGCGCCGUGCCGUCGGUAUUCAAUUUAAGCUAAUGCCUCGGAGGAAGCUGCCAGCCAAUGUUUCUCUCAGUUCUUCCUCUCCGCUUUCCUACCAAUAAUCAUUUCAGAGUCAACAGUGAGAUCAAUCGAGGAUGAUAACAUCAGAGGCAUUUGUGAAGAUCCAGGUUCCACAGAAGGUUUACAACGAAGUUAAGUUCCUGGUGAUAGUGGCUCCUCCUGCAGCAACGACAGUCUCACUUAUGGAGAGAAUACCUGAAUUCUUUAAUUCGGAAAAGAUGUGUCGUGGUGUUCGGAGGAUUUCCGAUCCAAAAUCCCUAUGACUUCAACGACGUUGUAGAAGCCUUCGGUUGGAAUGAGUUUCCCUACCACAGUGGCGCCGCUCCCCGCACCAAUGUUAUUGGCCGUAUGUUCACCGCCAAUGAGUCCCCACCAGAGCCAUUCCCGAAGUAGCCCUCGCAUGAGCGGGUUAUGGUGUUGGUGCCUUGGAUCUUUGGCGUCGGUCCAAGGAAGGUAAGAAAGGAGAAUUGGCCAUAGCUUUGAAGAGUGAUAGUGUGAUUGUUUUUGCUUCUGCGAUCUUAGGAGAGGAACUUAAUUGUGAAGGUUAGCAUUGGAGCGUGAAGAAUUGGAAGAGUAUGUGAGACAGUAGAGGAAGAGAGAAAAAGAGUUGAGGAUGAAGAGAAAAAGGAAAAUCUUGAGGAGCAAGGUGUUCCUUCAAUUCAUGAAGGAUGGGUGGGUUAGAAAUAUUUUGGUCAUUUUACAAUAGUUAAAUUAUAGUAUUGGUCCUAUACUUUUAUUAAAAUUGUAAAUUAGUAUCUACUGUUAAACAAUAAACACGUACAACUUACAUGUUGAA
This is a long non-coding RNA of Arachis duranensis, 1809 nucleotides long. RefSeq lists it as uncharacterized. Lineage: Eukaryota; Viridiplantae; Streptophyta; Magnoliopsida; Fabales; Fabaceae. The record is from RefSeq and is a predicted model, not a curated record. The transcript has 3 exons.